Molecule: long non-coding RNA, 1205 nt
Organism: Armigeres subalbatus
Lineage: Eukaryota; Metazoa; Arthropoda; Insecta; Diptera; Culicidae
Exons: 3
Source: RefSeq, a predicted model, not a curated record
UGGAAUUUAAAAAAAAAUCGCAUCGCAUCGCGAAGUAUAGUGAUGAACGACGACGAAAUUGUUUCUGGCUCCUAUAAUGGUCUCGACGUCGCUUCUUCUCUGUCCGUGUAAAAGUAAUUUUCAAUUAAAUCGCAGUAACGAAAAGUACAUUCAACGCGUAAAAUUUGGAAUUACGAACGGGAGCGGUGUCAACAUUAUUGACUUGUAAUUUUCUAGUACCAAAUUUUGCCUGCGCCCCAUUUUGGAACUCCGUCAAGAUCUGGAAGGAUUGUGUGUCCCUUGUGUGUGAAAAUUUUAUCUUUCAAGUGCAUCGAUUGAAUCGUAAAUAUAGAUAUUGCUGAAUGAAAGUGAAAAAAUCAAAUAAGACAGCAUAAUGGAAAAAGAGCGAAAAUGAUGAGUGCUCUGUGAAACGAAAGUGAAUUCGGUAGAGUGAUUAUGAAAACAUUCCUCCUGACUUGCUCUUCAAGGCUGUUGUGUUUGCAAUUACUACUGCCAACAACUAAUUGAGGUGGCGGUUCAAUUGCAGUGGCAUCUUGUCGGGAGGUGGCGUGCAAAACUUCCGGCUAAGAACACCAAGGGCAUAGGUUUUACAAGAUCAUGCUUUGAGAAGAAAUAAAAAAUCAGAAUAACGGGUAGCAGUAAUCUUCGGGAGCCCUGAAUGUACGCAGUAGAACGCAAAUCUAAGGUCAUCAUAGCAAAAGUCAAAAGCAAUAACUGAUACAAAGAAACACACGAUGGUGCACAGUGGUGCGUGUAUAUCGCACUAUCUGCUGCGACCACCACCGUCAUCGUCAGCAACAUCACAGCUGUAUUCAACCGCCAUCGUAGCCAGUAGCUGUCGCCGCCGGAAAACUGUCGUCUUUCGAGAGGCAACUAUCACACCAACACCUCAGCUCAAAAUCAGACGAUCGUCAAUUCAAGCAGCAUCUGCCACACGAGAACAAAAUCUAGGAUCAUUUGAUCUGCCUCUACGAAAGCAACCGAAAGAGGUCCUAUUGUCUACAUUUGAGAGGGUCUCAAAAACGAUAGCAAAGCUACAGCAACUUGAUUAUUCGGGUUCACGUUGAUUCCUGUCACCAAGGAUUGCCCUGUGAGACUGUGAUAGGGCCGGAUCUCGGAGCGCGCAUACUAACAAAAAACUAGCACAUAGAUUCGUGGUUCAGGAAAGGACUGAAGAGAUUAGUAGUUUUAGGAGGAAUCGUAGA